Molecule: ribosomal RNA, 460 nt
Filed under: uncultured Proteiniphilum sp.
Lineage: Bacteria; Pseudomonadati; Bacteroidota; Bacteroidia; Bacteroidales; Dysgonomonadaceae
Description: bacterial SSU rRNA
Rfam family: Bacterial small subunit ribosomal RNA
Source: RNAcentral
CCUACGGGCGGCUGCAGUGAGGAAUAUUGGUCAAUGGACGCAAGUCUGAACCAGCCACGUCGCGUGAAGGAAGACGGCCCUACGGGUUGUAAACUUCUUUUGUAAGGGAAUAAAGUGAGUCACGUGUGGCUUUUUGCAUGUACCUUACGAAUAAGGAUCGGCUAACUCCGUGCCAGCAGCCGCGGUAAUACGGAGGAUCCGAGCGUUAUCCGGAUUUAUUGGGUUUAAAGGGUGCUCAGGCGGGCCAUUAAGUCGGCGGUGAAAUUUUGCGGCUCAACCGUAAAAGUGCCUUCGAUACUGGUGGUCUUGAGUGUGGAUGAGGUAGGCGGAAUUUGUGGUGUAGCGGUGAAAUGCAUAGAUAUCACGAGGAACUCCGAUUGCUAAGGCAGCUUACUAAGCCAUAACUGACGCUCAAGCACGAAGGCGUGGGGAUCAAACAGGAUUAGAUACCCCAGUAGUC